CAAAAAAAUUCCUACGCACAUGCAAGAUCAUGGUGAUGUAUAGCAACAAGAUGGGAGAGUGUGAUCUACGUACUCUUGUAGACCGAAGCGGAAGCGUUGAUGCAACGUAGAGGAAGUAGUCGUACGUCUUCCCGAUCCGACCGAUCCAAGUACCGUUACUCCGGCACCUCCGAGUUCUUAGCACACGUACAGCUCGAUGACGCUCCCCAGGCUCCGAUCCAGCAAAGCUUCAGGGAUGAGUUCCGUCAGCACGACGGCGUGGUGACGAUGAUGAUGUUCUACCGUCGCAGGGCUUCGCCUAAGCACCGCUACAAUAUGACCGAGGUGGAAUAUGGUGGAGGGGGGCACCGCACACGGCUAAGGAACGAUCACGAAGAUCAACUUGUGUGUUCUAGGGUGCCCCCUUGCCCCCGUAUAUAAAGGAGGGAGGGGGAGGUGCGGCCGGCCCCAAGGGGUGCGCCUGGAGGAGUCCUACUCCCACCGGGAGUAGGACUCCCCCCUCUCUUGCCUUGUUGGAGAAGGAAAGGGGGAGGGAGAAGAGGAAAGGGGGGCGCCGCCCCCCCCCCUUCCUUGUCCUAUUCGGACUAGGGGGGAGGGGGCGCGUGGCCUUCCCUGGCCGGCCCCUCUCUUCUCCCUUAUGGCCCAUGUAGGCCCAUUAACCCCCGGGGGGGUUCCGGUAACCCCUCGGUACUCCGGUAAAAUCCCGAUUUCACCCGGAAUGAAUCCGAUGUCCAAAUGUAGGCUUCCAAUAUAUCAAUCUUUAUGUCUCGAUCAUUUUGAGACUCCUCGUCAUGUCCGUGAUCACAUCCGGGACUCCGAACUAACUUCGGUACAUCAAAAUGCAUGAACUCAUAAUAAUUAUCAUCGUAACGUUAAGCGUGCGGACCCUAAGGUUCGAGAACAAUGUAGACAUGACCGAGACACGUCUCUGGUCAAUAACCAAUAGCGGGACCUGGAUGCCCAUAUUGGCUCCUACAUAUUCUACGAAGAUCUUUAUCGGUCAAACCGCAUAACAACAUACGUUGUUCGCUUUGUCAUCGGUAUGUUACUUGCCCGAGAUUCGAUCGUCGGUAUCCAAUACCUAGUUCAAUCUCGUUACUGGCAAGUCUCUUUACUUGUUCCGUAAUACAUCAUCUCGCAACUAACUCAUUGGUUGCAAUGCUUGCAAGGCUUAUGUGAUGUGCAUUACCGAGAGGGCCCAGAGAUACAUCUCCGACGAUCGGAGUGACAAAUCCUAAUCUCGAAAUACGUCAACCCAACAUGUACCUUUGGAGACACCUGUAGAGCACCUUUAUAAUCACCCAUUUAUGUUGUGACGUUUGGUAGCACACAAAGUGUUCCUCCGGCACACGGGAGUUACAUAAUCUCAUAGUCAUAGGAACAUGUAUAAGUCAUGAAGAAAGCAAUAGCAACAUACUAAACGAUCGGGUGCUAAGCUAAUGGAAUGGGUCAUGUCAAUCAGAUCAUUCAACUAAUGAUGUGAUCCCGUUAAUCAAAUAACAACUCUUUUGUCUAUGGUUAGGAAACAUAACCAUCUUUGAUUAACGAGCUAGUCAAGUAGAGGCAUACUAGUGACACUCUGUUUGUCUAUGUAUUCACACAUGUAUUAUGUUUCCGGUUAAUACAAUUCUAGCAUGAAUAAUAAACAUUUAUCAUGAUAUAAGGAAAUAAAUAAUAGCUUUAUUAUUGCCUCUAGGGCAUAUUUCCUUCAAUAACAAGAUGGGGUUUAUAUCAUAUUGCAUGAGUUUAUCCCUCUACAUCAUGUCAUCUUGCUUAAAGCAUUACUCUGUUCUCUUGAACUUAAUACUCUAGAUGCAUGCUGGAUGGCGGUCGAUGUGUGGAGUAAUAGUGGUAGAUGCAGGUAGGAGUCGGUCUACUUGUUUCGGACGUGAUGCCUAUAUACAUGAUCAUACCUAGAUAUUCUCAUAACUAUGCUCAAUUCUGUCAAUUGCUCAACAAUAAUUUGUUCACCCAUCAUAAAUACUUAUGCUCUUGAGAGAAGCCACUAGUGAAACCUAUGGCCCCCGGGUCUAUCUUCCAUCAUAUUAAUCUUCCAAUACUUAGUUAUUUCCUUUGCCAUUUAUUUUACUUUGCAUAUUUAUCAUAAAAAUACCAAAAAUAUUAUCCUAUCAUAUCUAUCAGAUCUCACUCUCGUAAGUGACGUGUAGGGAUUGACAACCCCUUAUCGCGUUGGUUGCGAGUAGCUAUCACUUUGUGCAUGUACGAGGGACUUGAGCGUGGGCUCCUACUGGAUUGAUACCUUGGUUCUCAAAAACUGAGGAAAAUACUUACGCUACUUUGUUGCAUCACCGUUUCCUCUUCAAAGGAAAACCAACGCAAUGCUCAAGAGGUAGCAAUAUAUGAUAUGUGUGCAGAAGAAAAUUAGCUUUUACCAUUUGGUGGCGAAAAUUGAGAUGCAAUUUCAACCGGUUAUUUGCACUCCUUCUUGAGAAGCACUUUGGUGAGCAGGAAUGGCACCUGCCACGCCUUGGCCUUACAGGCGAGGCUGACUUGACGAAGCUGUGGAACAUAGCCAAAGCGCACGGGAAGGUUCUUGGAGCACCAAGAAUGGCACAACACCGUACUGAGCCCGGGGACGGAGAUGAGGUGGAUCCGCUUGCAAUGGAAGUGCAUAAACUCAAGCUCCUGGAUCCCAGAACACGGUGUGUCAAUCUUUAGCACGUGGUGCUGAUCGACCAGUCCGCGGGAGUUCAUGUUGAGAUGCUCGAGCUUAUCGGAAGCAGCAAUGAAGCUGGGGACGUCGGAGUCCCCGAAUGUAACGCCCUCGAUGCGGCUAUAUCUCCCACGUGUCGAAGCACGACUUAGAGGCAUAACCGCACUGAAAGCAAUGUCGCAAGUGAGGUAAUCUUCACACAACCCAUGUAAUACAUAAGGGAAAGAGAUACAUAGUUGUCUUACAAUCGCCACUUCACACAAAUACAUGAAUAAAGCAUUACAUCAACCAGAUACAAUCAAGGUCCGACCACGGAACCAAAAUAAAAGAAGACUACCCCAAAUGCUACACAGAUCCCCGAUCGACCCCAACUGGGCUCCACUACCGAUCAACUAGAAUGAAACAACAUAAAGGACAAGAUCUUCCUCGAGCUCCUCCUUGAGCUUGGUUGCGUCAUCCGCACGGUUCAACGGCACCUGCAAGCUGGUUUUGGAAGUAUCUGUGAGUCACGGGGACUCAGCAAUCUCACACCCUCGCGAUCAAGACUAUUUAAGCUCAUAGGUAAGGUAAAAGGUAUGAGGUGGAGCUGCAGCAAGCGACUAGCAUAUAUGGUGGCUAACAUACGCAAAUGUGAGCGAGAAGAGAAGGCAAAAGCACGGUCGAACAACUAUGAUCAAGAAGUGAUCCUAGAACAACCUACGUCAAGCAUAACUCCAACACCGUGUUCACUUCCCGGACUCCGCCAGAAAGAGACCAUCACGGUUACACACGCGGUUGAUGUAUUUUAAUUAAGGUCAACUUCAGGUUUUCUACAACUGGACAUUAACAAAUUCCCAUCUGCCCAUAACCGUGGGCACGGCUUUCGAAAGUUCAAAUCCCUGCAGGGGUGUCCCAACUUAGCCCAUCACAAGCUCUCACGGUCAACGAAGGAUAUUCCUUCUAGCGGGAAGACCCGAUCAGACUCGGAAUCCCGGUUACAAGACAUUUCGACAAUGGUAAAACAAGAAUAGCAAAGCCACCCGAAUGUGCCGACAAAUCCUGAUAGGAGCUGCACAUAUCUCUUUCUCAGGGCACACCGGAUUGUCCAAGGUUCCGGUAGGCCAGCCCAGAGUUGCCCCUGGUGGCCACCCGCAGCUGUCAAGUUGGACCAACACUCGGAGGAGCACUGGCCCGGGGGUUUAAAUAAAGAUGACCCUUGAGUCUGCAGAACCCAAGGGAAAGAAAAGGCUAGGUAGUGAAUGGUAAAACCAAUGUUGGGCCUUGCUGGAGGAGUUUUAUUCAAGGCGAACUGUCAAGGGGUUCCCAUUAUAACCCAACCGCGUAAGGAACGCAAAAUCCGGGAACAUAACACCGAUAUGACGGAAACUAGGGCGGUAAGAGUGGAACAAAACACCAGGUAUAAGGCCGAGCCUUCCACCCUUUACCAAGUAUAUAGAUGCAUUAAUUAAAUAAGAGAUAUUGUGAUAUCCCAACAAAUAUCCAUGUUCCAACAAGGAACAACAAUGAACAAACUUCAAUCUUCACCUGCAACUAACAACGCUAUAAGAGGGGCUGAGCAAAGCGGUAACAUAGCCAAACAACAGUUUGCUGGGACAAGGUGGGUUAGAGGCUUGGCUUAACAAUAUGGGAGGCAUGAUAUAGCAAGUGGUAGGUAUCGCGGCAUAGGCAUAGCAAAAGAGCGAGCAACUAGCAAGCAAAGAUAGAAGUGAUUUCGAGGGUAUGGUCAUCCUGCCUGAAAUCCCGCAAGGAAGAAGAACGAGUCCAUGAAGAAGAUAAACGGUAGUCGAACGACUCCUCACAACACGACGCUAUCGGAACUAACCCGAAGAAGCAACACCGGAAAGAAGCAAACAACAUAGUAAACAACCACCACAUAAGCAUGGCACGAUGCACACACAAGUAUGAUGCAUGUCCAGUUUAAUGAGGCGUGGCAUGGCAUGGCAAAGAGCACAAACAAUCCUAUAAAUUAAGUGGAGCUCAACAUGCAACUCCAUUGCAUAUUGACGAAACACCACAUUCAAGUUAUUUAGUUCAAUCUCGUUUAUGUACCCAACAAUAUUAAAUGUUGACUAACAUGGCAAGGGGUGAAGCAAAACAAAACUACCUAUCUAGGCAAGUUUAAAUGAGGCCGGAACAACAAACAACAAGUCCGGAAACUCCUCAUAUGCAUAUAUUAGGUUUGGUAUUGUUCUGCCCUAAACAUAAUUUUAGAGUUAUUAAACAUGAAAAACAAGUGCACCAUGUUAAACUAGGCAUUUUUCUACCCCAUUUACAUAUAAAGUUUGUUAAGUUUGAAGCUACGGUUAAUUUGUUAUGAAUUAAAGCAUUUUAGCAUGGCAUAGGAGCAAAUUUAAACAAACAGCAUUUUAGACAUUUUAAACAUAGAUGAAAGUUGCAUAUUAUUAAACUAGACAAAAUUCUAAGCAACUUUCAUAUUAAGUUUGUUUUAAACCGAUGCACGGUUAUUAAGUUAUUAUAUGCAUGAUCUAUAAGGGGUUUUCUGUAAAACAUCAGUUUUCUGGAAAUUAGCUAAAUUCGCAGAGCCUCAAAAAAAAUACUGGGCCGGAUCUGCUGGCCCAACAACAGGAAAAAAGGGGUGGGGCGCCAGGGGUGUUCUCACCAUGGGCUUGGCCCAUUGGGUGAGAGGGCAGGCUUGAGCUGGGCCUGGGAGAGGCUGCUUGGGACGCGGUCAACGCGCGGUGGCGCUCGCUACUGCUGCUUGAAGCAGGAAAACAAAGCACGCAGCGGCAAUGGCCUCGGCCACGGGCGGCGCGAUGGAGGUAAGGUGGAGGACGGAGGGGAGCGGGGCUCGGCGCUGGCCUAGCUUGGUGGCCGGAGCGUGGAUCCAGGCCAGUUUGGGUCGGCAAGGUGAGGUAGCAGGCCGGCGUGGAAGAUCUCAGGUGGUCAUGGCGUCCAUUGGCGAUGAACCCUGCGGGAGUUCCCUGUUUCAACAAGCCAGAGAGAGGGUGAAACACGGGAGAGAGAUGGGGAAGAAAGGGAAGGAAAGCAGGAGAGAGGGCGAGGGAGUCUGGCAUGGCGAUUCGGGAUCGAGAUCAUCUCGAUCUGGAGGUCAGGCGCCAUGGGGCUGUGCGAGCUCGAGGACGGGGCUCGUAGCUGACGACGGGAGCGAGGAGUCCCGCGUGUGCUCAGCACAGCAGGACGACGUGGUGGAGCUCGAGGCUGGAGGGCUCGGGCGCAGGAGGGGCUCGGGUUGGCCGGCUCGUGAUCCCAAGGUGGAAGGGGGCUGCAGGCAAGGGGAUCGAGGAGAUGGCGCUGGGAGAUGCAGUUGGAUGGAUGAAUCAAUUCAAAACAGUGGGGAUUGGUCGGCGUUGAAAACAAGGAGAGUGGCGGCGGAUGGGAUGGAUGGAAGGGACAAACUGCCUAGGAUCGAGGGUUGGUCUAGUUUAUAUAGUGAGUGGGUUUGUUUAGGGGGUAUAUCGUCCCUCCGAUCGCAAUCGGACGAUCGCGAAAAAAUAGCUAGGGGGUCCAAAUAAGAAAACGGUGACGUUUUGUAGAUGUUUGGGGAUGAUCCGGACACAACAGUGGCGACUGCCCGGGUCGGGUCCGGGACAGCUUUCCGGACGAGCGCGAGGGGGGUUGAUGCACUGAGCAGAGAGGGUUUCGGACUGUGCGAUGGCAUCGGACAACUCCGGAAGCGAAGAGGGGAAGCAGGAUGGACUAGGUGGGCUGUGGUGAGACUGCGAGGGGGAGAAGAGAGAGAGAGGGCCCGGCAUCUGUUUCCAGAGACCGAAAACGUCCGACGAAAAGACCGGCUAUACUGCCGCUAUAGUUAUCCAUUGGGGCGUCAAACGAACUCCGAAUGCGAUGAAAUUUGACAAGCGGUCUAUCUACACUAUAAUAAGACCGCAGGCCAACUUUCAACCCAUUCCGAGAACAUUUUCUGGCCACUUAUAAAAUAUUAUUUUGGACAUGCCGCGGGCGCGUGCAAGUGUGUCUGGGCUCAGAACGGACAACAGAAGGAAUGGGGAGAACCGGAUGGAUUCAAGUUUUGAAAACAUGCAGAUGCAAUGCAGAUGAUGACAUGGCAAGAUGCGGCACGCAAGCAAAUGACAAGGCAACAACAACGGAACACCGGAAGACACCUGGUGCAUCGGUCUCGGGGCGUCACAACACUCCACCACUACGAGAGGAUCUCGUCCCGAGAUCUAGGAUGACACCGGAGGGAAAAGGAAGAGGAAGAUAAGAGGUAAAACUAAGUUGCUUCUUUGACAAACGAGUGAAACCAAAGAACCUUGCGAGGUUGAACAAAUUCGAGACAGAAUACAACGAAGGUGAACUAGGUCGAAAACACUCCUUUAGAAAAGAGGAACAAAGAACAUUGCGAAAAACCUUGAGGUUGAAGGCAAGAUAAAUAUUGAAACCACUCAGGUUAAAAACAAGAUAGAGAAGGAAUAAGACUGAUAUAAUUUGGACAGCACUUCGACUGUAAAUGGAAGAAAUUGAACAUGAUCUUGACAAACCGAGAUGAGGAGUGAAAAGAGCAACAUCAAUAGACCUCCAGGAGAAAGAAUAGAAUAAAGAUAAUUGAUACAAAAGAAUGUAGAAGACAAUGCCAACUUCUGCUACAAAAGAGCUUGAAAAGGCACCUUUAGGAGAAGGGUUGAACGGAGUUAUUGGAAAGCCAACAACGAAAAGAAUAAGCUUGAUAUGGUCUUAUGGAGUACAUCUCAAAUUAUGAGGUGACAACCUGCCACUCACGGGAAAAAGAAUUGGAUUGAUAAGAACAAGGAGACGAGAAGCUAUCUCACCGGGAGGAUAAAUGAAGAACUUGGAUCAUUGAUAAACACCAUAAGAGCGACAAUCCUUAAAGGAAAGCUUUAGGUGAAAUAUAACCCAAGAUAAUUCCAAUGAAGAAAGUGAUGGGUUUAAAUACCUCAUUCUUGACAACAUGUGAAUCAUGAAACAUGAACUCAAAUUAUCAAGAAUGAUAUAAUACCACCUCUAUUGAUACGGAAGGAAGAAUUGCACUCCGGAUUGCAAGAUGAAGAAUGCUUGAGCUCAUCUGAAAAGAAUCUUGAUGAACACUUCGAGAAGGAAUUAAAUCCUUUAUGAACCAUCAUGUAGUACCUUGAUGAAGAACUCUGGUAACAAAAGGAUGAUCAAACGGAAGGAAAGAGAGGUUGAAAACACAAGGUGAAACCUUGUAAUGAUUUAGAUGAAUCUCCGUGGUGAUAUAAUUGCGAGAGCUUGGGACUCCGGGAAAGAAAAAUGAAUCAAGUGAAACCGAGAAUUUGAUGAGCCUCCGGAAUAAAGAAUUAAUCACUUGGAUGAAGCAAGAAUAAGAAUUACGUUAUGCGUAUCCUUCACCAAUUAAAUUGAUGACAAUCAACGGAUUUGGCACACUACUUAUUCUUGUCGAAAGGAUUAAGAUAGAUAUAGCAUGACUUGAGAACGUCUUCACAAGUUACCGGUAGGAUUGAGAAGAACGAAUGAAUAUAUACGAUAACGAAUGACGAGAACUCUUGCAUGAACCACCGUUAGGAUUGAAAAAUGAAAGUGGCAAGGACAAAAAUCACCGAAAAGAAUUGGAAAAUGAAAGACGAUACUUGAGGGGAUUUGAUACAUGAGGACGAAUAGAUCUCGAACUUAUUAGAGAAUAUUUGAAUGAAUCACCGGUAAGAUUUAGAGAAUGAUAACUGAAAGCUGAGAAUGAAUAAUCCCGAAAUGAUGGGCUCCGAAGAAUCAAACUGAAAAGACUCCUGAAUUGCUCCGAAAGGAUGAAAAAAAAUUCUGACAAUCAAAACAAUUAUGAGAGUAUGGCAUCAAGCUAGAAUCACGAAUCUUUGAUAGAACGGAUAAGAUAUAGAGGAAACAUUUCUUCGGUCUUCAAAUGUUGAUAAUGACGAUGAGAAGCACCACCAAAAAUUGUAGAGGCACUCCGGAAUUAAGAUUGGAAAGGUUGAACCAACGAUGAAAAGAAUUUGACAGAUCUUGGAGAAAGACAUUUGACUGAUGACAGUUCAUUCUUACGUCAAACAUCGAAAAGAAUUUGGGAGUAACUCCGGGAAAAAUUAUAAGAGUCGGGUAAGAUCCUGGGAAAAGACUUGUGGGUUAGGGCCCACUCAAAAGAAACACCGUAGAACGAUUUAAAAGAGAGAAUGCACUGGUAAGAUUAAAUGGCUAGAAUGAGAUAACAACCUCGAAAGAGCUUGAAAGGAUUACGAAAGCAGAGUGGAAACACGAAUCCUCGAGAUAUCUUGAACACUCCAGAACAAUUGAAUGGCAAGCGGGGAAGAUUAAGAGGUGCACCGGCAUAACUAAGCAUUGAAACGAGGAAAAGAUAUGAUCAACAAAGCUUGACUUGAAACCACUGGAGGAAAAAAUGAAGAAUGAUGAACUUGAGGCCCCGUUAGAAUGACCAUGAGAAUCACCGGAUAAGAACAUUGAUUGAAAAGAAAGAAGAGACUUCACAAGAAUAAAGGAUACUUGAUUAAGACAUCGGAUUCCUUGAAGAAAAAGGGUGGGUGGCCGGGAAAACAAAGACAACUUGGGGACGGAUGAAACAAACACCGUUGAGAAGAACGGAUACUUGAUCUUGCGGAUGUUGCAAUGAUCGGAUCCACUUGAAGAGAAGUACACCGGUUAAAAAGGAUUGACAUGGCAAUCUCGAUGAUCAUGAAGGAUUAGUAUUCACAUACAAAUAUGAGAACACCGCUUAGGAAAGGGAUGGAAUCCACAUUUGUCUCUGAAGCAACUCGAAUACCACAACUCAAAACAAAACAAAGGAUUGGAUUUCAAAAUAAGCCAUAACAAACAUAUGAUAGAGAUUUCGUCCAAAGUUUUCGUGGUGGGGCCUACCCGGGCUCGAUCGUACAGCACCAUCAUGUACAAGGCAGUGCACAUGACAUACGAAGCGUCCCCGAGUCGGCAUAGCCAAGGACUCUUUAAGACACAACGAGACCACUGUAAAACCAACCGUGGAUAGGCGGACCACUAGAUGUCGAACCCCAAUUUCAUAUCAUACAUCUGUCGAAAAGAUAUCCUAAGAGCUACUUGAAUUCCCACUUAUAAACUCCCGAAAUUUUCUGGUUAUGCAAUCAGGUGUUGGGGAUACAGGGGAAGCAUAAUAUCUCACCCAAAACUAGCAAAUCCUACAUCCAGCUGUAUCCAUCCUUCAACACAUAACCAAGAAACCUUCGGAAAUCAUCUACCUCAACCUUCAAAAAGCAUCCGUUAUACGAGUUAUGGCAAUACUCCCGAACUCCCGCCCCAGUACUGGGUGGCGUCGAGGUUAUCUCACCAACAACUGCAUAAAAGAGAUUUUCGAUGUCGGCGAAACUAAACUCAGGUAUUCUAGAACUGCAACGAUAAAAUUGUGAUGACAACACCUCGGAGCUCAACUCCCCGGGACACUGCCACAACCCCUAAAAGUCAGGAGGCACCAAGAACAAUGUUCUCGUCACAAAACCAUCGAAACGAUUCCAAGAUACCCACGUGAUCCUAAAAAAAUUUAGUGAAAUUUGAGAAGAAAAGAGUCAAAACUCUACGUCAGGAUGCCUCAACAGAGCGAUGAAGGGACUGGGGAGUAAAAAGAAUUCCUAAACUCUCCGAUAUAUAUAAUCCUAAAUGACUCAAAACAUUUCUAGACCCAAUAUCGCCAGCGAUUCGAUCAAGCAGGGGGCUCCUAAGGUCGGGGAAGGCUCUGAUUACCAACUUGUAAUGCCCUCGAUGCGGCUAUAUCUCCCACGUGUCGAAGCACGACUUAGAGGCAUAACCACAUUGAAAGCAAUGUCGCAAGUGCGGUAAUCUUCACACAACCCAUGUAAUACAUAAGGGAAAGAGAUACAUAGUUGGCUUACAAUUGCCACUUCACACAAAUACAUGAAUAAAGCAUUACAUCAACCGGAUACAAUCAAGGUCCGACUAUGGAACCAAAAUAAAAGAAGACUACCCCAAAUGCUACACAGAUCCCCGAUCGACCCCAACUGGGCUCCACUACUGAUCAACUAGAAUGAAACAACAUAAAGGACAAGAUCUUCCUCGAGCUCCUCCUUGAGCUCGGUUGCGUCAUCCGCACGGUUCAACGGCACCUGCAAGCUGGUUUUGGAAGUAUCUGUGAGUCACGGGGACUCAGCAAUCUCACACCCUCGCGAUCAAGACUAUUUAAGCUCAUAGGUAAGGUAAAAGGUAUGAGGUGGAGCUGCAGCAAGCGACUAGCAUAUAUGGUGGCUAACAUACGCAAAUGAGAGCGAGAAGAGAAGGCAAAAGGACGGUCGAACAACUAUGAUCAAGAAGUGAUCCUAGAACAACCUACGUCAAGCAUAACUCCAACACCGUGUUCACUUCCCGGAAUCCGCCGGAAAGAGACCAUCACGGUUACACACGCGGUUGAUGUAUUUUAAUUAAGGUCAACUUCAGGUUUUCUACAACCGGACAUUAACAAAUUCACAUCUGCCCAUAACCGCGGGCAUGGCUUUCGAAAGUUCAAAUCCCUGCAGGGGUGUCCCAACUUAGCCCAUCACAAGCUCUCACGGUCAAUGAAGGAUAUUCCUUCUAGCGGGAAGACCCGAUCAGACUCGGAAUCCCGGUUACAAGACAUUUCAACAAUGGUAAAACAAGACCAGCAAAGCCACCCGAAUGUGCCGACAAAUCCCGAUAGGAGCUGCACAUAUCUCUUUCUCAGGGCACACCGGAUUGUCCAAGAUUCCGGUAGGCCAGCCCAGAGUUGCCCCUGGUGGCCACCGGCAGCUCACAGGUUGGACCAACACUCAGAGGAACACUGGCCCGGGGGUUUAAAUAAAGAUGAUCCUUGAGUCUGCAGAACCCAAGGGAAAGAAAAGGCUAGGUGGCGAAUGGUAAAACCAAUGUUGGGCCUUGCUGGAGGAGUUUUAUUCAAGGCGAACUGUCAAGGGGUUCCAUUAUAACCCAACCACGUAAGGAACGCAAAAUCCGGGAACAUAACACCGAUAUGACGGAAACUAGGGCGGUAAGAGUGGAACAAAACACCAGGCAUAAGGCCGAGGCUUCCACCCUUUACCAAGUAUAUAGAUGCAUUAAUUAAAUAAGAGAUAUUGUGAUAUCCCAACAAAUAUCCAUGUUCCAACAAGGAACAACAUAGCCAUGUUCCAACAAGGAACAAACUUCAAUCUUCACCUGCAACUAACAACGCUAUAAGAGGGGCUGAGCAAAGCGGUAACAUAGCCAAACAACGGUUUGCUAGGACAAGGUGGGUUAGAGGCUUGGCUUAACAAUAUGGGAGGCAUGAUAUAUCAAGUGGUAGGUAUCACGGCAUAGGCAUAGAAAAAGAGCGAGCAACUAGCAAGCAAAGAUAGAAGUGAUUUCGAGGGUAUGGUCAUCUUGCCUGAAAUCCCACAAGGAAGAAGAACGAGUCCUUGAAGAAGAUAAACGGACGUAGUCGAACGACUCCUCACAACACGAUGUUAUCGGAACCAACCCGAAGAAGCAACACCGGAAAGAAGCAAACAACAUAGUAAACAACCACCACAUAAGCAUGGCACGAUGCCCAAACAAGUAUGAUGCAUGUCCAGUUUAAUGAGGCAUGGCAAAGAGCACAAACAAUCCUACAAAUUAAGUGGAGCUCAACAUGCAACUCCGUUGCAUAUUGACGAAACACCACAUUCAAGUUAUUUAGUUCGAUCUCGUUUAUGUACCCCAACAAUAUUAAAUGUUGAUUAACAUGGCAAGGGGUGAAGCAAAAGAAAACUACCUAUCUAGGCAAGUUUAAAUGAGGCCGGAACAAUAAACAACAAGUCCGGAAACUCCUCAUAUCCAUAUAUUAGGUUUGGUACUGUUCUGCCCUAAACAUAAUUUUAGAGUUAUUAAACAUGAAAAACAAGUGCACCAUGUUAAACUAGGCAUUUUUCUACCCCAUUUACAUAUAAAGUUUGUUAAGUUUGGAGCUACGGUUAAUUUGUUAUGAAUUAAAGCAUUUAGCAUGGCAUAGGAGCAAAUUUAAACAAACAGCAUUUUAGACAUUUUAAACAUAGAUGAAAGUUGCAUAUUAUUAAACUAGACAAAAUUCUAAGCAACUUUCAUAUUAAGUUUGUUUUAAACCGAUGCACGGUUAUUAAGUUAUUAUAUGCAUGAUCUACAAGGGGUUUUCUGUAAAACAUCAGUUUUCUAGAAAUUAGCUAAAUUCGCAGAGCCUCAAAAAAAAUACUGGGCCGGAUCUGCUGGCCCAACAACAGGAAAAAAAGGGGUGGGGCGCCAGGGGUGUUCUCACCAUGGGCUUGGCCCAUUCGGGUGAGAGGGCAGGCUUGAGCUGGGCCUGGGAGAGGCUGCUUGGGACGCGGUCAACGCGCGGUGGCGCUCGCUACUGCUGCUCAAAGCAGGAAAACAAAGCACGCAGCAGCAAUGGCCUCGUCCACGGGCGGCGCGAUGUAGGGAAGGUGGAGGACGGAGGGGAGCGGGGCUUGGCGCUGGCCUAGCUUGGUGGCUGGAGCGCGGAUCCGGGCCAGUUUGGGUCGGCAAGGUGAGGUAGCAGGCCGACGUGGAAGAUCUCAGGCGGUCAUGGCGUCCGUUGGCGACGAACCCUGCGGGAGUUCCCUGUUUCAACAAGCCAGAGAGAGAGGGUGAAACACAGGAGAGAGAUGGGGAAGAAAGGGAAGGAAAGCAGGAGAGAGGGCAAGGGAGUCUGGCCUGUCGAUUCGGGAUCGAGAUCAUCUUGAUCGGGAGGUCGGGCGCCAUGGGGCUGUGCGAGCUCGAGGACGGGGCUCGUAGCUGACGAUGGGAGCGACGAGUCCCGCGUGUGCUCGGCACAUCAGGAGACGUGGUGGAGCUCGAGGCCGGAGGGAUUGGGCGCAAGAGGGGCUCGGGUUGGCCGGCUCGUGAUCCCAAGGUGGAAAGAGGCUGCAGGCAAGGGGAUCGAGGAGAUGGAGCUGGGAGAUGCAGUUGGAUGGAUGAAUCAAUUGAAAACAGUGGGGAUUGGCCGGCGUUGAAAACAACGAGAGUGGCGGCGGAUGGGAUGGAUGGAAGGGACAAACUGCCUAGGAUCUAGGGUUGGUCUAGUUUAUAUAGUGAGUGGGUUUGUUUAGGGGCUAUAUCGUCCCUCCGAUCGCAAUCGGACGAUCGCAAAAAGAUAGCUAGGGGUCAAAAUAAGAAAACGGUGACGUUUUGUAGAUGUUUGGGGAUGAUCCGGACACAACGGUGGCGACUGCCCGGGUCGGGCCCGGGACAGCUUUCCGGACGCGUGCGCGAGGGGGGUUGAUGCACUGAGCAGAGAGGGUUUCAGACCGUGCGAUCGCAUCGGACAACUCCGGAAGCGAAGAGGGGAAGGAGGAUGGACUAGGUGGGCUGUGGCGAGACUGCGAGAGGGAGAAGAGAGAGAGAGGGCCCGGCAUCUGUUUCCGGAGACCGUAAACGUCCGACGAAAAGACCGGCUAUACUGCCGCUAUAGUUAUCCUGCCGCUAUAGUUAUCCGUUGGGGCGUCAGACGAACUCCGAAUGCGAUGAAAUUUGACAGGCGGUCUAUCUACACUAUAAUAAGACCGCACGCCAACUUUCAACUGAUUCAGAAAACAUUUUCUGGCCACUUAUAAAAUAUUAUUUCAGACAUGCCGCGGGCGCGUGCAAGUGUGUCUGGGCUCAGAACGGACAACAAAAGGAAUGGGGAGAACCGGACGGAUGCAAGUUUUGAAAACAUGAAGAUGCAAUGCGGAUGAUGACAUGGCAAGAUGCGGCACGCAAGCAAAUGACAAGGCAACAACAACGGAACACCGGAAGACACCUGGCGCAUCGGUCUCGGGGCGUCACACCGAACGCAAGGCUCUUAAGGCGCAGCCUCGUGAGCGAGCGGAAGGCCGGCUGGUAGGAGCAGGAGAAGGACAUGAAGUGCUGCCCUAGCUCAGGGAUCUGUGGGCCGGAGUUUACCUCGGGGGCAGGGAUACUUGGAAGGCGAGGCGUCUGGUCUUGCCGUGGUUGACGACGUCUUGGACGACGCUGGCGAUGGAGCUCAGAUGACAGGCCGACGACAGGAAGAAGUGGAGGUCGAUGACCUUGAUGGCCAUGGAAUUGGCACGGCCGCGCUGGCACUCGCAGAAGUUGUGGUGGGCACAUACGUACGUCAAAGUGGCCGGGAACGCGUCCAUGCAUGCAUGGUUUUGACUGGCAUGCAUUGCGCGGGGGACGUCGAGUGUCACGAACGAGAGCUAGCGAGGGAGAUUCCCCUAGAAGGCACCUUCUCGUCGUUCCAGCCAGGACACGACACGACAACAAACAUCAACGCGGAAAUGUCGCAUGCAUGCAUGUGUGUCCUUUCUUUCCUUCCAACCAAAAAGAAAAGGAAAACAAAAAACAGGACCUUCCUCCUCCUCUCCUCUCAAUCCAAUCCCUGCAACAUACGCAGCGCAGCGCAGAGCACGCACGUCUGUCUUCCUCGUCGCCGCCGCCGACGCCCUCCCUGCCCUCAUGUAAACUUUCAUGAAUAUCAUUGGACAAAAUAAACUUGAUUCUUUGUAAUAGUUUUGCGAUAUGAUGAUAGUGAUAUGUGAGUCAUGUUGGGGAGUAAUUAUACUUUAGUAAGAAUAUUGGUGUUAAGGUUUGUGAUUCCCUAUGCAAGCACGAAAGUCAAUAGUUAUGCAAUGAAAUUACAUCCUACUUGUGGCGCAUUAUUCGAUGUUAGUUAUGCUUAAUGCUCGCUUAUGUGUUUUUUUGUUUCUUGGUUGGAUGCUUCUCGAUCUAUUUACUAGCCUUCACGUGUACUAAGUGGAAAUACUACUUAUGCAUUCAAAAUCCUUAAACCCAGUUUUGUCAUAUGAGUUCACCAUACCUACCUAUAUGCGGUAUUCUCGUGCCGUUCUAAGCAAAUUUGUAUGUGUCAUCUCUAAUUUUCAAAACAAAAUUCAUUUUUGUGUGCUCGUACCGCUCAUGAAGUGGCAGGGGGUGGCCAAUAUUUUUCAUGCUAGAUGUGUUAUUCUCAAGAUGAGUGUUUAUUCACUUGUCAUUGCAUGAGAGUACGCCGGUAAUAGGGAUGCCCAGUCCCGAAAUGAAAAAGAAAUUUACUUUAUGUUGUCAAAUAAUAAACUUCUUGGAAAGUGUUGGUAUGGAAGGCACUCGUGGAUACGGCUAGCCAUGGAUUGUGAAAAAAUGGUGGAAAAAGGAAAAAACUUUAUUUUCUAUUUGCAAACCACCUAUGAUAUAUCUAGCAUGGAAAGUGUUGGGAAUUACUCGAUUGAUUUCGUUGACGGGAAAAAUAUGCCCCUCAAAAAUUUUAUCUCUCAAUUUAAGCUUUGAGCUAUGGCACCUCUACAAAUCUCUGCUUCCCUCUGCGAAGGGCCUAUCUAUUUACUUUUAUACAAUUUUUAUUUUUAUUUGAGUCUCCAUCCUCUCUUAUAAAGCACCAACUAGGGAGCACUAUGACCAUACUUGAGCAUUGGAUGUAGCUAAUAUGCGAGUGUGUUUCAUGAAAGGAUCAAUGAUUGAGAAUGAUGGGCUAGGGAUAACUUUCUUUAGUGUUGAUACCUUGAAAGACAUGGUUGCUUAUUGAUAUGCUUGAGUAUUGAAAUCUUCAUGUCAAAACUAGACUAUUACUUUGAACCAUAUAAAAUUCCAAAUGUCCAUGCUAUAAAUUAAAAGAAUAUGUGAUGAACAUGUUAGGCAGCAUUCCAUAUCAAAAAUUCUGUUUUUAUCAUUUACCUAUUCGAGGAUGAGUAGGAAUUAAGCUUGGGGAUGUUGAUACGUCUCCAGCGUAUCUAUAAUUUUUGCUUGCUCCAUGCUGUUAUAUUAUCGUUUUUGAUGUUUUACAAUCAUUUUAUAGCAACUUUAUAUUAUUUUUUGGGACUAAGCUAUUGACAUAUUGCCCAAUGCUAGUUGUUGUUUUUUGCUUCGCAAAAUAUCAGUACCAAACGGAGUCCAAACGCAGCGAAACUUUUUGGAGAUUUUCUGUGGACCAGAAGACAACCAUGGGCCAAAGAUGCACCAGAGGGGAUGCCCGAGGUGGGCACAACCCACCAAGGCGCACCAAGAGGCCCAGGCGCGCCCAAUGGGGUUGUGCCCCCCUCGGUGACCUCUCGCAUCGCCUCUUCGCCCUAUAAAUUGCCAAAUAUUUCAAAAACCCUUGGGAGUCCAUAGAUCAGAAGUUCCACCGCCACAAGCCUCUAUAGCCACAAAAAAACCAAUCUAGACCCCGUUCCGGCACCUUGCCGGAGGGGGAAAUCAUCACCGGUGGCCAUCUUCAUCAUCCCGGCAGCCACCAUGAUGAGGAGGGAGUAGUCCACCCUCGGGGCUGAGGAUUUGUACCAGUAGCUAUGUGUUUAAUCUCUCUCUCUCUCUCUCUCUCGUGUUCUUGAGAUGUCACGAUCUUGAUGUAUCACGGGCGUUGUUAAUGUAGUUGGAUCAUAUGGUGUUUUUCCCCUCUCUAUCUUGUUGUGAACUGAGCUUUCCCUUUGAGAUUUAUUUCUUAUCGGAUUGAAUACUUUUAUGGAUUUGAGAACACUUUAUGUAUGUCUUGCUAUGAAUACCCGUGGUGACAAUGGGGUAUCAUAUUUAUUCACUUGAUAUGUGUUUUGGCACUCAACUCGUGGACUCCCGAGGUGACAUUGAGGUAAUCUAUGCAUAGGGGUUGAUGCACGUUCUCGUCUUUAUUUCUCCGGUAGAAAUCUUGGGGCACUCUUUGAGGUUCUUUGUGUUGUAUUAUGAAUCUGAAAUUGUUUGAUGCAUAUCGUAUAAUCAACUCACGGGUACUUGCGGUGACAUUGGAGGGCACUCAACUCGCGGACUCUAGGUGACAUUAGAGUUGGUUGAUGUGUAUCGUAUGGUGUUAUUUUAGUACGAACUCUUGAUUAGAUCGAUCGGAAAGAAUAGCUUGGUGUUAUUUUAGUACGAACUCUGGGAUAGAUUGAUCGGAAAGAUAACUUUGAGGUGGUUUCGUACCCUAGAAACAAUUUCUUCUUAUGUUCUCCGCUAGAUAGGAACUUUGGAGUGAUUUUUCAUCGCACGUUGAGGGAUGGUUAUAUGAUCCAAUUAUAUUAGCAUUGUUGAAAGAUUGCACUGGCGAAAGUACAGACUCUAGGCCUCAUUUGCAAGCAUUGCAAUAUCGUUUGUGCUCACUUUUGUUACUUGCUACCUUGCUGUUUUUUAUUGUUCCUAUUACAAAAAUCAAUAUCUACUAUCAUCACUACACUUUUAUCACCAUCUCUUCGCCGAACUAGUGCACCUAUACAAUUUACCAUUGUAUUUGGUGUGUUGGGGACAUAAGAGACUUUUUAUUAUUUGGUUGCAGGGUUAUUUGAGAGAGACCAUCUUCAUCCUAUGCCUCCCUCGGAUUGAUAAACCUUACGUCAUCCAUUUGAGGGAAACUUACUAUUGUCCUACAAAAUUCUGCGCUUGGAGGCCCAAUACGAGUCUACAAGAACAAGUUGUGUAGUAGACAUCAGCCACUGAUAUGUCUCCAACAUAUCUAUAAUUUUUUAUUUUUCUAUACUAUUAUAGUAUCAAUCUUGGAUGUUUUAUAUGUAAUAAUAUAUCAUUUUUUGGGACUAACCUAUUGGCUUAGUGUCAAGUGCCAGUUGCUGUUUUUUUUGCUUGUUUUUGUUUUUCCAAGAAAUCAGUAUCAAAUGAAGUCCAAAUGCCACGAACCUUUUUGACAAUUUUUUUGGACAAAAGAGACCAAAGAAGCUUCGGGAGGAGACCAGACGAGAAACGAGGAGACGACAAGGCACUUGGGUGCGCCCUAGUGCCUUUGUGGGCUAGUUGCGGCUUCAUCUGACCUAAUUCUACCUCCAUAAAUUCUCUAAAAUCGAGAAACCAACAGAGAGUCACCCAAAAUACUUUUUUUCUCCGCCGCAAGUUGCUGUUCUUCGAAGACCCCAUCUGGAGGCCUUCUUCGGUACUCUGCUCGAGGGGGAAUCGAUCACGAUGGCCUCUACAUCAACCUUGCCGCCCUUUUGAUGAUGUGUGAGUAGUUUACCACAGACCUACGGGUCCAUAGCUAGUAGCUAGAUGGCUUCUUCUCUCUAUUUGAUCUUUAAUACAAUGUUUCCCUCGAUAUUCUUGGAGAUCUAUUCGAUAUAAUCUUUUUUACGGUGUGUUUGUUGGGAUCUGAUGAAUUGUGGAUUUGAUGACAUAAUUUUUUUUGUUCGGGUCAUAUAAUGUCAUAGAAGUGUCUUUUUUUAGUGAUAGCAAGGGUGUCUGUGCAGCGAUGAUGUCAUGAGAGAGGGGGGGGGGGUGGGAUGGCGUCAUCCAUAUCGAUUAGUUCGGGGGUCUUCCUAGCAGCUGCGUCCAGGGAGAGGGAUGUCGUACUCCAUGCAUAUUGGCUCGUGGUCUCCCCGACGGCUGCGCUAGACCUCUCGGCGAGGUUGCCCUACAACUCAUGGCUAUGCAGGUGGUGGGCUUGUAAGUUGCAACACACAAUGCAACGUGCAAAUAUAUAGAUCAGUUUUGGAGAAGUAAACACAUAUAAAUGUCUCAUUUGAAAAAAUUGCAUCAUAGAUGCUGGCCAUACAGGCUUAGGACCUAAGAUGAACAAACUUGCAUAGUUUUAGGAUCCAAAAUUACAGUUUUAAAAUUAUAAGAAUAAACUUUCUUUUUUAGGGGUAAACUGACACAGAGCAACAAAAUGAUGUGGUUUCGUUGUUAUGCGGUGGAGCCGGGGCUAGACCCCUUUUCCUCUAAAAAAUAUGGAGCAAGGCCAUGGGUGUACGAUGCUGAUGCUCACCAGCUUCACAGGAUACGGAGCAGGCAGCUCCUGGUGCCGCGAUUCUGAUGGAGCAGGUCUUGAUGCGCAAACGACGGCCAAAUCGAUCGCCCGGCGCGGGGCGGGCGAGGCCGGCAUUCCGUCGAACAGAGCGCGGGCGCCCGCUACUCUCUCCCCGACGGCGAAGCCUUCAGUCCCUGUUCCUCCACGACGGCGACGCGCUCGGCCGAGGCAGAGGCCCCCACGCGGCAGAGGCGCUUGCGGCGUGGCGCCCCGAGCCGCGGCCACCUGCCUGCCCGGAUUCCAUCGCCCCACCUCAGUGCUCGCGCGCGCGGCGCGAGUGGGCGCGAGUGCGGCGCGAAUCCGAUCCCCCCGUAUAAGAAGAAGCGGGGGUGAGUGGGCGGAUGGGAACCCAACCCGGCUCGCGAAACCGAAUCCUCCCUCCCCCGCCUCCUCCGGGUGCUGCUUCGGAAUCGGUACGACUGAUCCCCUCCCAUCUCCAUUUCUGUAGAGUUUCGUUUCGAUUUCUCUUUUCCCCUUGCUUGAUCUCUGCGGGCUCGUUCAUGAUCUGGUUCUCACGAAUUUGUUUGGCUCAUCGAUGGCUUAAUUCGUGAACUGUGAUCCUUGUUCACGGUGGAUUUCCUCAUCUGCGCGUCAAAUUUCAGAUUGAAUAAUAAUAGGUCAUCAGUCCCGAGUUAUAUGUGCCGAGUUCAUCCGGUGUUGAGCAGACGUCCUGAAACUAAGAGAAAUUGCCUGUGACUGAUACGGGAUGGUUGCCGCUAAGAUCAAAGAGCUUAGCAAAGCUUACUGGCAGCCACCUCUUAUAAUCCGAAUUAAUCCAUUUUUAAAUUUGUCUACUACCUGCGUCAAAUUUCAAAUUGUUUAAAGAACUUCAAUUCUUUAGCACCUACAGUUGACGAGGAGGGAGAAUAAGUUUAGAUCCUUGGACGGAUAUAGCAUGCUGAUGUGUUUACCUCCGGCAUUUACGGUAGAUUCUACAUAUAUAAUUUGUGGUUGCUUCUCUAUAUUUUUCAUUUCCUUGAUAAAAGUGGAGCUCUGCCAAAUCAGUUAAAAAAAAUCUGGUCAGUAACAAACAAUGAGUUUUUUAAGCAGAAAUUGCCAAUUCAUGAGCUAGCCAGAUUUCGAAGAUGAACAUCCAAUACGUAGCUAUCCAGGUCAAGAGAAGCCCUCCUCCUUUCGUGCACACUUUGUGUUCGCCAUCUGCACCUUCCUAACGACCACGUCAUUGCAUCACACAGUACGGUAGUAAUCGACUUCUCAAAAUUGUCUCACAUACUAUCAUCCAACUUGGCCUUAGGACCCACAAGUGCAUUUGUUGGCAAAGAAACCCACAAAGGAGGCGCCAUUUCUGUUUAUCUUUUGCUAGUGAGUUUGGCUGAGACAUUUUUUCUUUACUUGCACUGGAUGUUGUCAGUAUGUUUCGACGUUUCGUUAUAUUUUGAUAGUGGAACCUGACCUUGCAUAAAAGUUGUAUGGGGAAAAAAGUAGAAGGCACCUAAAGCGAGAUUAGUUUGUUCUUCUCACGUCAAUCUUCAUGUCUGAUCCGUCAUCUUUCAGCAACAUUUUGAUGUACAUGCCCAACCAUGUGUGAGCAACGCAUUUUCACCAUGGUCCAUGUAAAAUGGGUUGUGCACUCUUCAUAGUGAUCUUGAUAAGAUAAGGAAAGCUCAAAUAAAGUUUGGGAGAACAGGGGGACAUGGGACUCCGAUCCACCAGUGGAUGCUGCUUUAUAUCAUCUUGGCUUUUUUUUACGGGGAAUCUUGGUUUGGGAUUAGCAGCAUGCAAUGUUUUUAAGGCGGUNNNNNNNNNNNNNNNNNNNNNNNNNNNNNNNNNNNNNNNNNNNNNNNNNNNNNNNNNNNNNNNNNNNNNNNNNNNNNNNNNNNNNNNNNNNNNNNNNNNNNNNNNNNNNNNNNNNNNNNNNNNNNNNNNNNNNNNNNNNNNNNNNNNNNNNNNNNNNNNNNNNNNNNNNNNNNNNNNNNNNNNNNNNNNNNNNNNNNNNNNNNNNNNNNNNNNNNNNNNNNNNNNNNNNNNNNNNNNNNNNNNNNNNNNNNNNNNNNNNNNNNNNNNNNNNNNNNNNNNNNNNNNNNNNNNNNNNNNNNNNNNNNNNNNNNNNNGCGGACACCUUAGAGAGUUCUAAGCAGCAGAAUAUAGUAGAAUUUGGUUGUUGCUGCUGUACUGGAGAGGAAGAGGAGCUGCUGGAGAGGAGGAGGAGCUGCUAGACAGGAGGAGGAGGAGGAGCUGUUGGAGAGGAGGUGGAGGAGCUGCCAGAGAGGAUCUGCUGCAGAGGAGGAAGCAGAUCUGCUAGAGAGGAGCCACUGGAGGGAAGGAGGGGGAGGAGUGUGUGGAUUGGGGGCUGUUUCUCUCUCUCUCUCUCCCCCUCUUACCUGUUGGUGCCAACUGCCAACAUCCUUUCUGUUUCCCGCCAAAACUCUGUUUCCCCCCUAAAACAGCUCACCUGCCUGCCUGGCAAGCUAAGGCGUCCAAAAUGGACUAAGGCAACAACCUGGACGCCUAAGCAGACGCCUUGGACGCCUUAAAGCUUAAGGCGGACGCCUUACAGAGGUACAUAAGGCAAGGUGGACGCCUCGAGCUCGCAGGGCGCCCUGACGCCUAAGCGUCGCCUAGGCGACGCCUUAUGGACGCCUUAAAAACAAUGGCAGCAUGUUGAUCAUGUAAUGUUGUAUGCUAAUCCAAAUACAUGAAUCUUUUUAACCAUGACUACUAAACCCUGAGAAAAGGAUGGCAUGAGCACUCAAACAAUGCCGCGGCUUGUAGAGCUUGUGCAUUUGGUUGGAAUAAGAAAUGCUACAGCUACUCAGACCCUGUGUUACACGGCUCAAGUCACCUUAGGCCAUGAUUUUUCCAAAAAUUGUUCGGCUAGUCCUCUCAUCCUUAAUCCACCUGCAAAUGGCACUCCUUGGCAUAUAUGUUGGGAACAUAUCAUGCCAUCCAAGACCCGUUCUCGGGAACCCGUUCUCGGGAAUGAAGCUCUCAUAGUUAACUUGUCAUCGUACUCCACCUCCACGGGAAAACACAUUUAGGUUUAAGCACAAAGAGAAGCGACUCAUCCUAGCAAUUGCUCCAAAGUAGGACCCACACCAAUAUGUAUCUCCUCUCCACCCACAUGGGUCCAAGUUCUAGGGCUUGUAUAAGUGCACAUGGCUUGUGGCCCUCGUCACAAAUUGUAAAGCUAGUAUGUCUUUAGGCAUCAAACAACAACUCGAUAUGCAAUGAUUGAGUAAGCUACUAUAUAUGGCUUUGAGCUGGAAUAAUGUUUCAGAUUGUACAUCAAUGGUUAUACAAUUCAUACAUGUUAUGGCAAUCUAAUAUAUAUAAUUUUUCUCCAUGUAAUAUUUCUUUUUCUCUCAAUAUAAUUUGCUAAGGAUAAAUACUUACUUUCACAUUUUCUUAGAGAUACAUCCUUCCAGGUAGGUCGGCAACGCAACAAUGGAAGAAGGGAAAGACAAGAAUAACACCACUGAGAAGGGGCUGUUCUCAAACAUGAUGCAUGGGUAUCCACCUCAUGGAGGAUACGGAUACCCUCCUCAAGGUUACCCGCCACCGGGGGUCCCCUACCCUCCUCCCGGGACGUAUCCUCCUCCACCACAAUAUGGGUACCCUCAGCCAGGUGGCUACCCACCUCACGGUGGAUAUCCCCCCGUCGGCUACCCUGGUAUGCAUUGCUGGUGAUCAGUUAUACAUAAUGCACGUCCUAAUUGUGUUGUGUCUGGGGAGUUAAUUUGCUCAAUUGGACCUCAAUGAUAUGAACAACACUGUAAUUGAUCUUUCAGUUGUUUGCUCGGAUUUAUUUAUGUCAUCACUUCUUCAUAAUUUGUUUCAGGCUACGGGGGUGGCCAUGGAGGACAUGGCUAUGGCGGCGGGCACAUGGGCUAUGGAGGCGGCUAUGGCGGCGGCGGCCAUGCUCUCGGGCACCACCACGGAGGCCACGGCUACGGCCAUUAUGGUCACGGAGGCCAUGGCUACGGACACCACGGUCACGGACACUACCACGGCGGGCACGGCUGGGGGCACCAUGGCCAUGGAUAUCACCACCACCACCACCACGGCAAGCAUGGUUACGGCAAGUUCAAGAAGUGCAAGUGAUUUGCGUCUGCGCACAGUGAUUGCGCCUCAUCAACUAUCUUAAGUAAGCUUGGUUCCAGAAAUACCCCCGCGGCUGGGAAGAGCGCUAGCAUGUCUCCUGUGAGACUGCGAUGAUGCAAUGCUCCUGUACUGUUACUAGAUAUACCAUAUAAUUUGGUGCUGUAUAGCUAAUAAGGCUUGAUAAUAAGUAGCGGAAUCAGAUACCAGUCAUUUGCUGCAGUUCAGACGUUCUCUUUCGUCCGUACACAGAUGUGCUAGCUAGAUAUCAUGCUCGAUCAGAUUAGUGCUCAGUCCAUGCCCCUAGUAUGCACGUCAUGUGAAGGCCGGCGCCUGGGUGCGACCGUGGUGAUCAUCUUGCGCAGCCGCGCGGCCCAAGGCCGGCGUUCAUCAUGUAGCAGUGGCAGACUGGCAGCCGCCGGGGAGGCGAGCUCCGACGAGCAGCGACUCCCUCCCUCAUGCCAUGUCAGUUCCUGGCCGCCAUCGAUACAACAAAAGAAACAGUAUGGUUGGAUAGUCAGUGUAGACUAGCAAGAAUUUGGGCAAUGCACCUUGAGUGCAGCCGAUGAAUGACUCGCUGUAUAUAUGGGCAAGGUACAGGAGGUGCGCGGAGCGCAGGUUACAGGCGCGACGUGAAUGGGAUUGUGCGCUAGCCACGAUCGUGUGAGUAUGAGACUACAUCAGCUAGCUAACAGUCAGGACAACAGUGGCAUCCUUAGUGCUUGUUUGAGCCCAUAUAGCGACUUGUCGAGAAGACAGACGUGGUUGGGGUGGUGCUCGUCGACGAAGCCAGCCGGUUGCUGGCAGUAGACACGUUCCGUGAGGUGGCCCUGCAAAAAUGCGUUAUUGACGUCCAUCUAAUGAACCGGCCAGGCUCGAGCCGCGGCGACGGUGAGCACGACGCGGAUGGUGGCUGACUUGACCACCGGCGAGAACGUCUCGUCGAAGUCGACGCCGGGGCGCUGAGAGAAUCCGCGGACGACCCACCUGGCCUUGUACCGCUCCAACGAGCCAUCAGACUUGAACUUGUGCCGAAACAACCAUUUGUCGGUGACUAUGUUAGCGUCGGCCGGAUGUGGCACCAGAGUCCAUGUGCGGUUCGCCAUCAACGCCCUGUACUCCUCCUGCAUUGCGGUUAGCCAACGGUGAUCUCAUAACGUGGCGCGCACACUUUUGGGAAUGGGUGAGAUGGCUGGAGCAACGGUGGCAAUGUUGGCGUCGGCGUACUUGGGGUUAGGGCGAAACUUGCCAAGUUGGGCUCUGGUUGUCAUGGUGUGGCUAGGUACAAGGCUAGGAGGACGCGUUCGUGGAGCUCGUGGCACAUCAGCAGCUACCACGGGAGGCGGGGGUGAGAUGUCACCGCGUGCCGGGGAGGCGGGCUCGAUGGCAGCUGGAGACGAAGGGUUGUUGGGAGAGGCUGGAUUUGUUACCAUGGCAGCGUUUUGGGCAGGGGCGCGCACACGAGGUGUGCGGGGGCGUCGGGGCACUGGGGUCAGGAGAGACAGUGUGGGAUCGUCGUCGGGAGGGGAAGAGAUGCAUGGUGGAUCCACAUGGGAGAAUGGGAAGGUGUGUUCGCCGAAAACGACAUGCCUAGAGACGACGACCCGCCCUGUGUCUCGGUUGAGGCAGCGAUACCCCUUGUGAUCCGGUGAGUAGCCGAGGAAGACACAGGGAUGUGACCGUGGUGCUAGCUUGUGUGCGGUCGUGGCGGCGAGGUUCGGGUAGCAGAGGCAUCCGAACACAUGGAGCGCGGCGUACUCCGGGUGGACGCCAUACAAGAGAAGGAAGGGCGUGUGGUUCUGUCGAGCGCGGCAGGGUCGGCGGUUCAACAGAAAUGUGGCCGUGGCUAGUGCUUCAGCCCAGUAGGCGAAGGGCAUGGAGGCAUGGGUGAGCAUGGAGCGUGAGAUGUCAUUGAGUGUUCGUAGGACACGUUCAGCCCGUCCAUUCUGAGGUGAUGUGUAGGGGCAAGACAUGCGGAGUUGUAUGCCCUCAGAGGAGAAGAAUUGGCGCGAGGCAUGAUUAUCGAAUUCACGGCCAUUGUCACUAUGUAAGGUUAGGAGGUUUAGAUGGAAGUGGCAUCAGAUGAACGCGAGGAAGGUUUUAGUCGUAGGAAGGACAUCCGAUUUGUGGCGUAAGGGAAAGGUCCAAACAAAGUGGUUGUAAUCAUCUAACAUUACAAGAUAGUACUGAUAGCCUGAUAAACUAGUUACAGGGGAGGUCCAAACAUCACAGUGCAUUAGUUGAAAGGGAAACAAAGAUACAUGAGGCGAGGAGCUAAACGGAUGCCGCACAUGCUUUCCUAGCUGGCAAGCGUGGCAGACAGAUGAGAGGGCUCCACGACUCGGUGUUGAUGACGAACGAAGGGCACCAUGCAGGGCGUCUGCUCCGGGGUGACCAAGCCAUUGGUGCCAGAGGUCGGUGGUGAUCGCAGUGAGGGCGUGGUGUGGCGUGGCUGUGGACACGGUGUACAGGUCGCCAUCAUCAUCACAGCGGAGGAUCACCCGCUUCGUCCUUCGUUCCUUGACAGAGAAACCACGAUCGUCAAAUUCCACAUUUACAGGAUUGUCGCGGGCAAGAGCUUUGACAGAAAUUAGGUUACGUAUAAGGUAUGGAGAGACUAGAACAUGGCAGAGAGAGUGGGGAUUGGGUGGUAGGGAUGGUGGUGUGGCCUGUGUGCGUCACCGGAAGAUAUGUACCAUCGCCAACAGUAAUGCCAGAAGCAGUGUAAGGGUAGGAGAUGGAGAGCAUACCAGAGGAGGACGCCAUGUGAGACGACGCACCCGUGUCGAGGUACCAGUCGGACGUGGGCGGCGACGGCUACGGUUGCUGAAUGUGCAGAUUGUUGAGGGCGUUCACCAGCGCCGUCUGAUCCCAGGCCGGGCCUGCGACAACACCAUACAGAGGGUGUGGCGGAACAGCUCCAGCGGUCCACUGUGUCGGAGGAGCGCUCGGCGGGAUGUGGAGCGGCGCGCCGUAGGGUGCGGGAGCACCGUAGUGUGACGCAGUGCCGGCGAAGGGAGGCGCGUUGGGGCGCGGCCCCAGGACGCCGGCUCCAGGAGCAUGCGGGCGCCAUGGCAUGGCCCAAGCGUGAACCAUUCCAGUCCACGGGGUGGUGUUGGCAGGCGGCGCCGGCGGGCGCGAUGAAGAGGCGCCAUUGUAGUUGCCACCGCUCGAGCCACCCUGCUCCACGACCUUCCCUUUGCCGCGAUUGCGGCCGCCAGAGUUGGAGCCGCGGUUACGACCGCCGCCCCCGCCUGUGUUGGUGUUGUGGCCGCCCCCGCCGUUGUUCUGCGGUGCUGGAGUGCGGGCGGCAUGCAGUGCCAGUUCCGGCGCGGAGUCAGAGCCCUGCCUGCUUUCUUCAAGAAGGAGGAAGGCACGGCGACGCAGGAAGGUGGGGAAGGGGGUUUGCAUGGUGAGUAUGGGAAUGGCGUAGCGCAGCCGUGGGUGCAAACCUCGGAACAUGUUGAGGACCUGCUCACGGUCCGUCACGGGUUCGCCAAGAUCAGCAAGCCGAUCGGCGCAUUCCUUCAGGCGGCCGAAGUAGGCGAUGACGGAGGAGGACCCCUGCUCAAUACGUCGGAAGUCCGUCGCCAGAAACACCGUUUGGUGCUCCUGGUUCUCCAUGAACAUGGAGGUGAUGGAGGCCCACACCUGGGCCGCCGUCGCAUGGCGUUGGUGGAUGAGGCCGAAGAUUUCCGGACUCACGCGUGUGUAGAGCCAGGAGAGGAUGUGAGCAUCGUCCUGGAGCCACGCCGGAUCGUGGGGACGCGGAGCGCCGACGAGAUGAUCAACGACGCCGCUCUUCUGGAACAUCACCUCAAAGAGGGUGCGCCAUUGAGAGAAAUUGGGCGGCUGCAGCGUCAGGAUCAGUGGGACGUGGUGGUUGAUGAAGAUGGAGGCGAGUGGCGAGGUGGGUAGGGUAGAGGCCAUCGCGGGCGGCGCGCCGGCGAAUAGAGCACUGAGUUGGGCGCCAAGUCCUAGCGCAGAGGGGGUCAGGAGGGAAGAUGCAGAGGAGCACGGGGUGUCAAAGGCGGCGUCCUCUAGGGCGCUGGUUAGGCCCCGACCUGGGUGAGGAGGAGGUGGGGGAGGCGGUGGGACGAACAUGACUGCCGGAGUAGAGAAACGGCAGCGAAAGCGGUUACAGGCGCUGGGACGUGCCGGCGUCUGAUACCAUGUAGACUAGCAAGAAUUUGGGCAAUGCACCUUGAGUGCAGCCGAUGAAUGACUCGCUGUAUAUAUGGGCAAGGUACAGGAGGUGCGCGGAGCGCAGGUUACAGGCGCGACGUGAAUGGGAUCGUGCGCUAGCCACGAUCGUGUGAGUAUGAGACUACAUCAGCUAGCUAACAGUCAGGACAACAGUGGCAUCCUUAGUGCCUGUUCGGUUCCACUCUACUCCCUCGACUCCGCUCCCGGAGUGGAGCAAGUUGUAGCUUGUUUCCACAGAGCGGCUCAGCUCCACGGAGUGGAGCGGGGCGGAGUGAUUCCAAACAGGCCAUCAAAUUUCAACUUCUAAACUUGACACCGAUUCUCACAUUUUUCUGAAUUUAUUUUAGGCCGGUGAUGUACGUUUUGUGGGAGAAGACAUUCCUAUCGACUAUAAAGGCUUCUGCGUUGACUUUGUCAAUCUCAAACUGAUGUGCCGGCUCAGUCACGGAUGUGCUCAUAGAGAUAGGUUGUGCACGCGUGUGUUCAUAAAGGUAAUUGUACGUGUGUACGUAUGAGCGUCUGCGUCUAUACCGUGUUGAAAAGAAAAGUAAGUGUCUUACUGUAUUGAAAAAACGUAGGUGACACGCUCAAACGAGUUUUUUUUAGACAAACACACAGGCUCAAACAAGAGCAAGCAAAGAGAGUGUCUACGAUAAAGUCUGGCCCAACACUUUUGGACUCAUCAGCCCGUCGCGUCUGCCUGGGGGCGUUGCUGGACCGAAUCCAGGCCCAGCCAGAAAAAGCGCCCUCACACGCCACGCGUCGGCUGCUCGUCGUUUCAACGCGCAAAUAUCCCCCGAGGCAAAGCAACGUGGACGUGGGGUUCCUUCGCCGCGUAGCUUUCUUCCCUCUCCAUCCUCGCCCCCACGACGGACGACGCGCUUCGGCCGCGGCCGCCUCGAGCGAAGCAGUCUCGGCCCCCACCUGUCAUCGACUCUGCGCAGCGAGGUCAAGUCCUAUCCAUCCAUCCAUCCAUCCACCCACGAAUAAUAACUCCAGGCCGCGGGACCCGCCCGGGAUUCGGUGCCAACGCCUGCCGAACCGAAGCGCGUACACGAGCCCACCGCCCCCUAUAUAAAAUCCCCCAGCACGCACAGGAGCCCAAAUAUCCACGGAGCGCACGGAGGAGAACGCCAUCAUCCAUCCAGAUCGGCCUCUUCUUCUUCAGCUUCGCAGAAUCGCAGAUCUUCUCCUCUAGGUAUGCGCCUCCUACAGCCCUGCGAAUCCGCGGCCCCUCUUGCUUCCGAGUAGUAGAUCGUGGCAAAAAUAAAUUUACCGGAGGGGAUUUUUUUUUUUUUUGCUUGCUCUGUUCUGUCCUGUUUGACGGCCUGGGUGGGGAUUUUUCCAAGUCGAGGCCGUGGAAAGGGGGAUCGGUCACGGAUUUGGCCCCGCGGGAUCUGGAUUGGGGCUGGUUGCCGUGAGAAAACCCCUGUGGUAGGGGGCGCCCGAAUUAGCCGUUAGUGUGUGGGAAGUCAUGCCCGAGGGUUUUCGUCAGUUGGAUCGGUGCGGCUCUUGAUCCAUGGAUUAAUCAGUGCUGUUGUGGAGUUCCUAGUCAGGAUGAUGCGAAAAGCUAAAAUCUACUCCACUUGCACUGGGCGUGGUUCAGAAAACCCGCAAAGUCUCUCCGAUUGCGAUUGGUGGUUAAUAAUCAUACAUGUAUGCCCUUCCUUCAUGUUUUGAUUAGCACAUCUGCACAUGCAUGUUUCACCUCUCUUGUAUGAAUAGAUUGCUGCUUGUUAGGCACAUGGACAUGGUUUGGCCAUUUGGAAAUUGGAAUGAGGAUUGGGUAGGCAGUUAGGCACGAUGGCUGGUUGUUGCUGCCCUGUUUAUUUUAGUCUGAGGACCAUGUCUGAUUGCUUGCACGCAGCACUCACUCAAGCAUAUCAUUCUUUUACCAAGUCAAAUGUUCUGUUGCGAGGACGACUAGUUCUGCUCUAGCUGGCAUAAACACAUCAAUGUGGUGGUGCUACCGGCCCUCUAACCGACAAGAAAAUACAUUAGCAACUGUUACAUACAUCACAUGUUUAAUGGCAGUUCUUAUGCCUAAAGACAGCAAGAUUUCUCUGUCACGUAUUAACAUUUGCCUAAUCAUGAUAUGUGCAGUUAGCUCCCUCAGAGCAAUGGGAGGAGGCAACGAUGGUCAUGGGUACCCACCCGGUGGCCAGGGGGGAUACCCUCCGGCAGGGUACCCGCCGCAGCAGGGAGGUUACCCUCCACAGCAAGGAUACCCGCCUGCACCUGGAGCUUACCCACCUGCACCUGGGGCAUACCCUCCAGCACCUGGGGCUUACCCUCCUGCACCUGGAGCGGGAGGCCCUGAUGGGGAGAAGGGGCUCCUCUCCAACAUCAUGCACGGCGUUGCCGGUGCUCAUGGUGGUGGUCAUGGGUACCCGUCUGGUGGUCAUGGGUACCCAUCUGGUGGCCAUGGAUACCCUCCACAACAAGGGUACCCUCCUCAGCAUGGCUACCCCCCGCAGCAGCAUGGCUACCCUCCACAGCAGCAUGGCUAUCCCCCUGCCGGCUACCCUGGCUCAUCCGGUAUGUAACCUUCCUUUGUUUUAUACCAUUCCUGUUGGACUCCAUAAAUUGCUACCAUUUGCACUAGCAUUUAUAUUUCCACAGUUGAGAUGCAUGUAUAUGUGCAUUAUGCGCUGCAUCUUCAACAACAUGCCAUUUCGGUCUCGUAUAUGAGUAGUGGUUUAUCUUGAUGUAAAGAGUCCCAAGUUCUCUUGUAUCAAACCUCAUUGUUUCUCAGGUUGUAUGUGUAGUAUGCACUGGAUUGAUGUACAUUUAUAUGUGUAGUGUGUGCUUGAUUGAUAUCCAUUUAUAUAUGUGUGGUAUGCGCUGCAUCUUCAAUAAUAUGCCAAGUUCCAUCUCAGGAUACGAGUAGUGGUUUAUAAAAUCUGUUGUAUCAAACGUGUAUCACUCUUGAGCAUCCAUCCUCAUCGGCUAUUGUUUCUCAGGUCACAGUGGUAGCCAUGGAGGAGGAGGCAUGGGCAUGGGCGGCAUGCUGGCUGGAGGCGCAGCAGCUGCCGCCGCCGCCUACGGAGCACACAAGAUCUCUCACGGCAGCCACGGUGGAGGUGGACACAUGAUGGGAGGCAUGAUGGGCGGCCAUGGAGGCUACGGCGGCGGGUACGGCCACCACGGCGGCAAGUUCAAGCACGGGAAGCACGGGCACGGCAAGUUCAAGCACGGCAAGCAUGGGAAGCACGGCAUGUUCGGCGGCGGCGGCAAGUUCAAGAAGUGGAAGUAAUGCGCGCGCUAGCUAGUAGCUUCACAAUGGCUGAUGAAUCAAAAAAAAAUUACCUAAACUCUUUGUGUAGGCUUCCAGAACUUGGUUUGGUCAGGGAAAGCCUUUGAGAUGUAUCUAAGCAGGGUGGUGUGUGGUCGCUGCUCGAUCUCGUGGAGCUUCCAUCCUUUCCUCUAUGAUUUGGCACUCUAGUCUGCGUCUGUGACAAGAUAUGACUUGCUAAUAAGUACCUGAAUUCUGUGUGGCGGUAUGCUUACCCUGUUCUGAUGCUGGUCAUGUGUCGUUGUGCUCUGAAUUGGUGUUGUGUUUGCUUCGCUGGGGCAAAAUUGUUGCUCCUGACCAAACAUGUGGCAAUUUUGCUGCCAUUUUCAACUGUUCGAUGCUCCUCCAAAAGGGCGGGCAAGCAACAUUUUGUAAA
This 31285-nucleotide long non-coding RNA is filed under the name Triticum aestivum (bread wheat). RNAcentral describes it as "long non-coding RNA (TAES_LNC028661)". The record is from RNAcentral. Lineage: Eukaryota; Viridiplantae; Streptophyta; Magnoliopsida; Poales; Poaceae.